Alosa alosa (allis shad) is the source of this 841-nucleotide long non-coding RNA. RefSeq lists it as uncharacterized. The record is from RefSeq and is a predicted model, not a curated record. The transcript is spliced from 4 exons. Lineage: Eukaryota; Metazoa; Chordata; Actinopteri; Clupeiformes; Clupeidae.
UAGCUGGCAGAGAUGUUCAUGCGAUUGCAUUUCAGGUUUAGAAAGACCUCAUACUCCAUGAGUAACACCAGAUGACCUUAUUUCAGAACGUUUUCAGGAUACAUUUAAAUGUCAUCUUUAUGUAGCCGGACGAGUCCUUAUCUGGAGCAUUGUGAUGGGUUUUGUUGUGUCUCGCUCCUGCCCCACCUACUUCGUAAGUGGGUAAUUGGCAGCUGUGCUCCAUAAAAAGGAAGCGCGGCUAUCCAGGGCAGACGUCUGCUUUGUCCAGGGACGACUCUGACCGACCUAUCGCCUAUCCCCUAUCCCCGACCCCCGACGUUUGGCUGUAGUUUGUUCCACCAUUUGCUCCAGUAACAGAAGUCGCUGCUAAACUACUGGCUGGAUAUUCUCACGGCUGCUCUUUCCCCCGGUGUGCUCAUCAAUUCCAGCUUAGCAACAUCACAGAGUGUUGCGCUGUCCGGGCUCCCUACAUCUGACGUUAGCUGUUGCAUGGAUCUGUAUGGUAUCCUGAUGUGGUGACGGCCUUGCUGUUUUGUUCCUGUUUGGGGUUUGCUGUGUGGAGCGCCUUCCGCUUCUCUCUGUGGCCUUCCAUCGCUGCGUCUCUGAUGCAUGAUCGCUAGCUAACCUGGUGGUGGCUAUCUGCUUGGGCCAGUUUAGUGCGGACGUGCGUGUUUGUUGCAUGAGUGUGCAUGUGUGGGAGUUUGGUUUGCUUGCUGCUCUAUUGAUGCUCUGUGCUUUUCUCUGUAUUUUGUAUUGUCUUAUUUGUACUCAUUUGUUUGUUUGUUUUUCUACUGCAUGUACUGUCAAGUGGGCUUUCCCUGUGUAUGUUGCUUGUCUCUCC